UGGUAGGGAGUGGUCACGAGGGGCGGUAAGUAGUGGGGCGGAAGGGUGGGUGGGAAUGAUUGGGCGGCAAGGGCGCGUAGGCGGUCUGUUACGUAUGCUGUGAAAACCCGGGGCGGAACCCCGGGCUUGCAGUGGAUACGGGCGGACUAGAGGCAGGUAGGGGAGAAUGGAAUUCCCGGUGUAGCGGUGAAAUGCGCAGAUAUCGGGAGGAACACCGGUGGCGAAGGCGGUUCUCUGGGCCUGACCUGACGCUGAGGAGCGAAAGCGUGGGGAGCGAACAGGAUUAGAUACCCGAGUAGUC
RNAcentral lists this ribosomal RNA (301 nucleotides) under uncultured Acidilobus sp. Its description in RNAcentral is "bacterial SSU rRNA". The stretch from base 53 to 301 matches the Rfam family "Bacterial small subunit ribosomal RNA", at positions 547 to 795 of the family's 1533-position model. The record is from RNAcentral. Lineage: Archaea; Thermoproteati; Thermoproteota; Thermoprotei; Acidilobales; Acidilobaceae.